Molecule: long non-coding RNA, 1901 nt
Filed under: Apteryx haastii (Great spotted kiwi)
Lineage: Eukaryota; Metazoa; Chordata; Aves; Apterygiformes; Apterygidae
Description: lncRNA (ENSAHAG00000013214.1)
Source: RNAcentral
GCUUUGGCUCCAUCUGGGCCUGCGUAAAAUGCUGCAAUGCAAAAAGGGGGAGGGGGGAGGCGAAGGGGACCAUGUUACAGACAGAAACAGCGCAUGGGAUUUGGGAUAAAAACUCUGGUGAGAAGCUGGAAGGAAAACACGCCUGCCCAAUGCACACGGCAGCGAGGGCUGGAAAGGGGGCAGGGAGCCGCUCUGAAGGUAUGGAAAAGAAAAGAAGUGUUAUCAGGAGCUCCAGCUCCCUUUGGAGAAGCUUGCAGUCCCCUAUACCUGUUUCCUAUGGCUAUAUCCCUAUCGCUACAGGGAAUAUUCCCUAUAUCCCUUUAGCUCUAAGGAAUAGCUGUAGAGGAGCUAUAUCCAUAUAUAUAUGCCUAUAGCUAUAGAGAAUAGCUAUAGAGGAGCUACAUCUCUCUAUAUCCCUAUAGCUCUAGGGAAUGGCUAUAGAGGAAUGUGAGCUAUAGGGGAUAUUCCCUAUAUCCCUCUAGCUAUAGGGAAUAGCUAUAGAAGAGCUAUAUCCCUAUAUAUCAUGUUUUUGGCAAGGAGGAGCCCCGUGGCCACUGGCGGUCCCACCACGUCAGGGACAGAGUGCGAGCCACGAGUUGCUCCCAACGUAGAGCCAUGGGUGCAGGGGGGUCCAGUCGGGGUGGGUGAAAGCGUGGUACUGCCCGAACCACUGCCCCACGGCCCAAAUCCCCUCUUCGGGGGAAAGCUGGAGGAUGCCUUUCCUCCGGAUGUAUCCUCCAGCCACCCCAGUGGCCCACCAGUCCCCGCCGUCGGCCACCGCCACCUCCCAGUGGUGCUGCCCCACAGUGAAGCCUGGGCAGCCCAGCACACAGGGCUCGGUGGUGAACCUCUCCGGGGCAUCAGGCAGCGAAGCCCACAUGUCUCCCCGCCUCACACCUCGCCGAUCUGCUGCCAGGACCAGGAAGGGAUUGGCAGUGCCCAGGUCCAGGGUGACGUCCACUGGGGACAGAGGAGGAGAAGACCGUUAGGAGGGGCAGUCCUGGAGAAGGUGGGACACAUGGUGGCCCGUGUCUGCCCCGGUAAGAGAAGGCACCUCCUUGCCCCCAGGUGUCUCCAGCAUGGGGUGGGAAAACCCCUGGCACUGGAUUGCCCCAGUCUCGGUGACACCUUGAUGCUCCCAGGCGUGUCUGGGCACAACCCAGCUCAGAUAGAUGUCAAUCCAUGCCCCCAAAUUUCCUCUUUCUCCUAGUGGGCCAUGGAGGGAGCUUGGAUGUCUCUGGCAUGGGGUUGACAGGGGUAUCCAGCUGGGAUGUUGCAGCCACCACAUCUCAACCUCAUGGCAAGCCCAGGUCAGGACAAGGCCCAAGUGCAUUGACCCGCAAUGGCUCUUCCACAUCAGAGACAGAACGCAACUUUUUCCCAAGCAGAGGGCAACACCCCUCUUCUUCCCUUCUUGGAACUCACCUUUCUCACUCAUCUCCUCCACUUCAUUAGCCUGGGCCUCCCCCUCUUCUAGCUCCAGCUCAGGUACCUGCAUGUCUGCAGAAAAUCCACAGGACGUUGAUCAACAGGAUUCCCAGAUGGAAGUGGAUGGCAAGACUCAGUGCUGAAUGGUGAGAGAAGUGGAGGGAAUGAUGGAAGAGUCACAGCAUUUGAGCUCUUUUUAGACAGCCAGUGGUCCCCUGUGGGAUGACUCCAGGAAAGGAGAUUGUUGGAUGGGUCCUUCUGCCUUCAUCUUGGCGACAGCUCCCCACGCUCUCACAUGGUUGUGGGAUCUCAUUUAAUCCUUGCGUUGCACAUCUCCAUUUUGCCUGUCUUGGGAUUCCCCUCCCAGAGUUACUGCAGGGCCCCAUGGGGCUGUUUGUGGAGAUGCAGUUCCCAUGCCUCCCCCUGGCCAGCUGCAGGUUAGAGAUAAGAGCCUGCUGAGCCAUGGAGAGCAG